This 253-nucleotide ribosomal RNA is filed under the name uncultured bacterium. RNAcentral describes it as "partial 16S ribosomal RNA". It matches the Rfam family "Bacterial small subunit ribosomal RNA", at positions 524 to 776 of the family's 1533-position model. The record is from RNAcentral.
UACGGAGGGGGCUAGCGUUGUUCGGAAUUACUGGGCGUAAAGCGCACGUAGGCGGCUUUGCAAGUUAGAGGUGAAAGCCCGGGGCUCAACCCCGGAAUUGCCUUUAAAACUGCAUCGCUAGAAUUGUGGAGAGGUAAGUGGAAUUCCGAGUGUAGAGGUGAAAUUCGUAGAUAUCGGGAGGAACACCAGUGGCGAAGGCGGCUCACUGGACUGGUAUUGACGCUGAGGUGCGAAAGCGUGGGGAGCAAACAGG